UCACUAAACUAGUGAAUGAACCCAGGA
RNAcentral lists this non-coding RNA (27 nucleotides) under Homo sapiens (human). The record is from RNAcentral. Lineage: Eukaryota; Metazoa; Chordata; Mammalia; Primates; Hominidae.